AGAGUUUGAUCCUGGCUCAGAAUCAACGCUGGCGGCGCGCUUAACACAUGCAAGUCGAACGAGAAAGCAGGAGCAAUCUUGUGAGUAAAGUGGCGUACGGGUGAGUAACACGUGGAUCAUCUACCUCUUUGUGGGGGAUGACUCUGGGAAACCGGAGCUAAUACCGCAUAAGUCCGUGAGGAGAAAGCAGCAAUGCGCAGAGAGAGGAGUCCGCGGCCGAUUAGUUAGUUGGCAGGGNUAAAAGCCUACCAAGACAAAGAUCGGUAGCCGGCCUGAGAGGGCACACGGCCACACUGGCACUGAAACACGGGCCAGACUCCUACGGGAGGCAGCAGUGGGGAAUCUUGCACAAUGGGGGCAACCCUGAUGCAGCGACGCCGCGUGAGCGAUGAAGCCCUUCGGGGUGUAAAGCUCUUUCGGCAGGGAAGAUUAUGACGGUACCUGCAGAAGCAGCUGCGGCUAACUACGUGCCAGCAGCCGCGGUAAUACGUAGGCAGCGAGCGUUGUUCGGAGUUACUGGGGCGUAAAGGGUGUGUAGGCGGUUUUCUAAGUCUGGUGUGAAAUCUCCCGGCUCAACUGGGAGGGUGCGCCGAAAACUGGAAGGCUAGAGUGCGGGAUGGGUAAGUGGAAUUCCUGGGUGUANCGGUGAAAUGCGUANAUAUCAU
RNAcentral lists this ribosomal RNA (665 nucleotides) under uncultured bacterium. Its description in RNAcentral is "bacterial SSU rRNA". It matches the Rfam family "Bacterial small subunit ribosomal RNA", at positions 8 to 700 of the family's 1533-position model. The record is from RNAcentral.